GAGGGUGCAAGCGUUGUUCGGAAUCACUGGGCGUAAAGCGCGCGCAGGCGGAUGGUUGCGUCCGGAGUGAAAUUUCGCCGCUCAACGGCGAAGCUGCUUUGGAUACGGACCGUCUAGGGACCGGUAGAGGCUGGUAGAAUUGCAGGUGUAGCGGUGGAAUGCGUAGAGAUCUGCAAGAAUACCCGUGGCGAAGGCGGCCAGCUGGGCCGGAUCCGACGCUGAGGCGCGAAAGCGUGGGGAGCAAACAGGAUUAGAUACCCUGGUAGUCCACGCCGUAAACGAUGGGCACUAGGUGCCGGGGGGAGCGACCCCCUCGGUGCCGCAGCUAACGCGAUAAGUGCCCCGCCUGGGGAGUACGGCCGCAAGGCUG
RNAcentral lists this ribosomal RNA (370 nucleotides) under uncultured organism. RNAcentral's name for it is "bacterial SSU rRNA". It matches the Rfam family "Bacterial small subunit ribosomal RNA", at positions 528 to 896 of the family's 1533-position model. The record is from RNAcentral.